Molecule: ribosomal RNA, 328 nt
Filed under: Euphrosinopsis cf. antarctica MB
Lineage: Eukaryota; Metazoa; Annelida; Polychaeta; Eunicida; Euphrosinidae
Description: partial 16S ribosomal RNA
Rfam family: Archaeal large subunit ribosomal RNA
Source: RNAcentral
GCGGUAUCCUGACCGUGCUAAGGUAGCAUAAUAGCUCGCCUUUUAAUUAAAGGCUUGUAUGAAUGAAUAAACGAGAGAUUAGCUGUCUCUAAAGCACCCCUGAAACUUAACCUAUAUGUGAAAAGGCAUAUAUCCCCCUAAAAGACAAGAAGACCCUGUCGAGCUUAAUUGUCAUUAAUCUGCAAGAAAAGUAAUUUACCCGCGCUGAAAACCAUUUCAAUUUAGUUGGGGCAACAAGGGAACAAAAAAACCUUCCCACAAAAAAUUUUCCUGCCCACACAGACCCCCCACAAGGACUAAUAGAUAAAAGCUACCGCAGGGAUAACAG